Molecule: long non-coding RNA, 4083 nt
Organism: Alligator sinensis (Chinese alligator)
Lineage: Eukaryota; Metazoa; Chordata; Crocodylia; Alligatoridae
Exons: 5
Source: RefSeq, a predicted model, not a curated record
GCCAAUUGCCAACUUGAUGGUGGAGGGAAGGGGCAUAAAGGCUCUCCUUACUUAACUUUCAGGCAGGGAGGAUCCUGAGUUAAGGGAAAGGAUCAGACUUGUAUGAAGAACUCUUUUACUGUGAUGAGAAGGGAGUAAGAUCCUGGGUUUCCACACUACAUGCUUACUGGUGUCAGCUGGCAAGACUACGCCUGUGUCCAGUCAAACAACUGAGUGUACUGAAUCCUGAACUUCUGUGAAGGGACCAACCACAAUCUAUUCCCGUCAGAGAUGCACCUUUCAUAGCUCCUUGGACUAACCUUGACCUGUGCUCCAACUUAUUUUUUACAAACUAUUUAAAAACUGGAGGGACAUAGAAGCAAAGAGGAAAAAUCUCAGAUGAGAAUUUAUAUGAGGUUUGAAUAGAAUGUAAAUCAUUUGCCUGGGGUGACAAAACAAGUCAAUAUAAAAAGCUGGAAGAACUCGGGAGUCUUGGUUCUGCCACUUGCUCGCUGGUCGAUAUUCCCCUGACAUCAACACCCAUGCCACCUGGAAGAACAAGUAUGAGAAUGAAUGCACGUCUUCAGAGCAAGAGGGCUAUCGUAUUCCAGAAUAUCAGCAGAGUUGCUGGAGAAGCAACUCUUGGGCUACAAAUGCUUUCUAUUCUUUUCAAGGAGCCUUCGUCCUCCUAUCUCUCUUAUUACAAAAGCUGAAAAUGGGGGAAUGGUUCAGCACCUAUAAAUAGAGGCCUACUCAACUCGAGGAGGUAGUUGGCCAAUUUUGUGGGCAGAUCACAGGGCCAGCAGCCUUUUUUUUUUUUUGUGGGCUUAUCAUGCCCCCCAUGCCUCUGAUUGGCUGGGGUGCCCAGUGCUCCCUGCCCCCACUGACUGGAGAGGGCUGUUUUUCAUAUGGCCCUGGCCCUUGCUGCUGAUUGGCUAAGAGUGCUGCCUGUCAUGCAGCCCCUACCCCUUGCUGUUGAUUGGUAGAGAGGGGCAGGACCAUAAAAUAGACAGCUUUCUCAGCGACUCAGCAGUGAGGCAGUCCCACUCUCCCCGUCCCCCUGGGAGGACUGCUGCCUUCCACUAGGGAGCCAAGAUUGAUUUUUAUUAAGGUUUUUUUUUGUUCCCCCAUAGAUUUUGCAGAGAUCACCUGAUUUUGUGAUUUCUGUGAAAUCGCGAUUUGAGUAUGUCCUGCCUUUAUAAGGGCUUAUUUGCUGUACUUGCAAUGGACAGUGUCCCAAUGAUGUUGUACAAACUUUCACAUCCCAUUGGCUUAGAUAAUUUACCAUGGCUUUGGCAGUUCAUGGGGAUUAGAAGAGAAAGCAAAACAAACAUCUAGCACAAUUAAUUGUUUUAUUUAAGUAGACUUAAUGCUUAAGCAAACUCCCAGAAGCCAAAUAUGAAGCUAGUCCAUAAUAUGCAGGUGCAAUUUAAAGAAUAACUUUUCAACAGUUUCAAAAGUUAGGCUGAGAAGCAGCAGCCACACAAGAAUUGUACCUCUUCUAGAAAGCAGCAGGAUAAGUUGCAAGUGAAACCGUGAAAUGUUUACACCCAAGUUCAAACUCCUGUGAACUUGCCAAACUUGGCUCCCUCUCUCCCUCCCUUCCAUAUGUUUCAUAUUCAAAUCACUCUCUCUAUUUGGUACACUGCUCUGUGCAUGGCCUUUUACAACAUCUGAUGACCUAAGCUUGGGCUUAUAACUUGUGCUGUGCAUCUCUGAUUUAAUUGUUCUAGAAGGUGCAAACCUGCCCUAUCCUCUGCAAUAGUUUAUUCUGAAUGGGCUCUGAUUGGACAUCCAGGAAGCCAAAGCAGAAAGUAAAAAACAAAAAAAACAAAAAACAAAACAACCUCUUUUUGCCUUAAUGUACUUCCACUGAAGUCAAUAGAGCAACAUUGACUAAAACCAGAGGAGGAGCUGCUCCCAGCUCUCUAAAUUACCCUGUAUGGGUGGGCGUGCUCCCAGGUGCUAUGAACCAGCUUGCAGGGAUUGGCUUCCAAAUGCCUUUCUCAAACUGAACCCUGAAGGGCUUUUGUACAGCACCAAAUCAAGGGCAUACGACGUGAUGUAGAACUAACAAUAAACUCAGUAUAUUAUCAAAUAUUAGGGUAAUUAAGAGCACAUGGAGCAGGACAGGCAUUUUGUUUUUGUUAUAGUGUUUGGGUGCACAUUUUGAUGUUUUUGCAUGUGUAUGGGAUCAUACGGGUGAUUUGUAAUAAAUAUUUUGCUGUUAUGGAGCCUAUGGGGACUCUGCUUUGAGAUGCCCGUAAGGCUUGUGUGUUCCAGUGACUCUGAUCAAUAUUCUGGUGGGGAAUUUUUAUUUCUGGUAGGACUUGCCAAAGCUGGCUAGGUUAAAAGGAAGCUAAUAGAUAAAAACCAGUCCUCUGAACUCCAGAUUAGUAGUUGAAUAAUAGACCCACAACCAGUCCUCACAUGAAAAAAGGUUGUAGAAAUGUUGGCAAACAGAAUAAUAGGGAAGGGAUGUUAAAGCCUUGUUUGUGCGCGUAAUACAGCUGAUGCUAUUGUGAAAAGUUUAAAUUCAGAGAGGCAUAUUUCAUUAGGAAGGAUUCCAAAGAUUUACCUAUCCUUUUUUUUGUACCAAUCCACUGAAAGGCAGUGGCUAUCCCUGAGGAGGAAUUAUAUAUCGUGAAGCUGAGGUACUCUGGUCCAGGACAGUGGGACAACUCUUUACUAUGAGAAGCUGUACCUUGAGAUUAUUAGGAGUUCAUUUUUCCCAGUUUGGCACGAACAAUCACAUGUGCAUACAUUUGUCCACUUUGAAAGAAAGUGCUUUUUGAAUCAUCAUCGCAAGAUGGACAUUGUACUAGUAACCCAAUGCAGUGACACUAUUUAUGAUUGUCCACACUAACCUUAGUGGAAUGAUGGUGAUUUAUACUAGCUAUGAAUGUAUUGACUUUCUCAAAAUAACAUUAGUACUUCAGAAAAUUGAUGAAAUCACAUACCUAGAGACUACAGACCUAGUGCCUAAGUGUUACAGGAAAAACCUAGAUAGAUCUAGUAUGGUGCUAGCAAUGAGCAGAUUUUUCCAUACUGCCUCACUUAUAUUCCUCCAUUGAAGGAGUCACCUCUAAGUUGGAGAAAGACCAACAUGACUCAUGUAUUUCUUGUCCUAUCUACUAAGACACCAAUGACCAGACCAAUCAGUACACAUUGCGAUGAUGUCACUUGCAAUACUGUCACACGUCUUCUAAUAAGUGGUUAAUAGAGUUCUGGCAGAUACUGAACAGUAAAAACUGCAGUGAUGUUCAAUGAGCCCAUAAGGUUCAAUCCCAGUAGUAUCUGCGGAAAGCAGCCUGAACUGACACAGGUGGCUUUGACAGCAAGGUUAGGUUAGGGAUUGAACAUGAAAAUAAACGUACAAAAAGAAUGCCUUACAAAGUCUUGGGUCUGAUUUUGCCAUCCUUAUUCUACUUUUGUGGAAUUCCUUAUUCUCUGAAUACCGCCAGUGAGGUCUAUGGGAUUGCUUAGGAACUAAUAUGUAUUCUCCUCUUGAGUGAAAUUUGACCCAUGUGAUUAUUCAGCCUUGGAGUAUAAAGUUGGAUCAAAAAACACACAGACAGCUACUAAGAAAAUAUCAUGGACUUAACAAAAAAUUCAUUAGCUAAGGUAUCAUCCGCCACCUAGAGAGUCACUUCAGAAGUGCAGGGAAACAUAAAGCAUGGCCCAAAGCAAUCUUAAUCAAAGUUCUCGCAUGGUCCACUCGGACUUUCCCUGCCUGCCUGUACCUCCCACUGAUGUUCAGUGGCACAUUGUGCAGAAUGGUCCAGCAGGGGCCGUGAUGAGAUCCACCAUGCAGAGUUGGAGUGGCACAGUUUCCUGUGUAAUAUGUAGUCUCUGCUCCAUUAAAUACACACUGAAGAACAGUAGGCUUUGAUGUCCAAGGAAGAAAACAAGGUAUGCAGCCAGCAUCAUUUUGUUAUUGACCAAAGGGGACUCUUUUUGUUACUAGUUCCAAUUCUCUGAAGGAAGGAGCUAUGUUGAAAAGCAGAAUUCAUUUCCACUAAUGCAGGUAUAAUUUGUAAAGUGUGCAUUGUUUGCUUUCAAAUACUAUAAUUCUCUACCAAAGGAAUGUAUUUGAUUAGAGAC